AGAGUGAACGCUGGCGGCAGGCCUAAUACAUGCAAGUCGAACGGCAGCACAGCAGAGCUUGCUCUGUGGGUGGCGAGUGGCGGACGGGUGAGGAAUACAUGGGAAUCUGCCCAGUCGUGGGGGAUAACGUAGGGAAACUUACGCUAAUACCGCAUGCGCCCGUUCGGGGGAAAGCCGGGGACCUUCGGGCCUGGCGCGAUUGGAUGAGCCCAUGUCGGAUUAGCUAGGUUGGCGGGGUAAACGCCCACCAAGGCGACGAUCCGUAGCUGGUCUGAGAGGAUGAUCAGCCACACUGGAACUGAGACACGGUCCAGACUCCGUACGGGAGGCAGCAGGUAGGAAUAGUGGACAAGUGGG
This 357-nucleotide ribosomal RNA is filed under the name uncultured soil bacterium. RNAcentral describes it as "bacterial SSU rRNA". It matches the Rfam family "Bacterial small subunit ribosomal RNA", at positions 26 to 376 of the family's 1533-position model. The record is from RNAcentral.